Molecule: small nuclear RNA, 93 nt
Organism: Callithrix jacchus (white-tufted-ear marmoset)
Lineage: Eukaryota; Metazoa; Chordata; Mammalia; Primates; Cebidae
Source: Ensembl
GUGCUUGCUUCAGCAGCACAUAUACUAAAACUGGAAUGAUACAGAGAAAAUUAGCAUGGCCCCUGUGCAAGGAUAACAUGCAAAUUUGUUUAU